AGCAUUCCCGUAGUAGCGGCGAGCGAAGCGGGAAGAGCUCAAAUUUAUAAUCUGGCACCUUCGGUGUCCGAGUUGUAAUCUCUAGAAAUGUUUUCCGCGUUGGACCGCACACAAGUCUGUGAUACAUUUUCGAAGAGUCGAGUUGUUUGGGAAUGCAGCUCAAAUUGGGUGGUAAAUUCCAUCUAAAGCUAAAUAUUGGCGAGAGACCGAUAGCGAACAAGUACCGUGAGGGAAAGAUGAAAAGCACUUUGGAAAGAGAGUUAACAGUACGUGAAAUUGUUGGAAGGGAAACGCUUGAAGUCAGACUUGCUUGCUGAGCAAUCGGUUUGCAGGCCAGCAUCAGUUUUCCGGGAUGGAUAAUGGUAGAGAGAAGGUAGCAGUUUCGGCUGUGUUAUAGCUCUCUGCUGGAUACAUCUUGGGGGACUGAGGAACGCAGUGUGCCUUUGGCGGGGGUUUCGACCUCUUCACACUUAGGAUGCUGGUGGAAUGGCUUUAAACGACCCGUCUUGAACCACGGACC
This 520-nucleotide ribosomal RNA is filed under the name Rhodotorula mucilaginosa. RNAcentral's name for it is "eukaryotic LSU rRNA". It matches the Rfam family "Eukaryotic large subunit ribosomal RNA", at positions 71 to 667 of the family's 3401-position model. Lineage: Eukaryota; Fungi; Basidiomycota; Microbotryomycetes; Sporidiobolales; Sporidiobolaceae. The record is from RNAcentral.